AAAAUACUUAUUUUUCUGCUUUUCUUCCUUCAGAAAUCUUUGUCUGUACUGAAUAUCAGCAAUAACAACAUUGAUGAAUUAGAAGAACUGGCAGUUUUGGAAAAUCUUUCUUACCUUAAAGCUGUCGACAAUCGACUUAAACAUAUGAAGAACUAUUAAUGCUUUGUAUUUCAAGUCCUGGCUGGCAGCUGUGAUUGAAUUUACAUCAAAAUACAGUUCAUGUAGGCUUUUGCUGAAUAAUUAAAAUCACAUUGAAUAUGUUGGUUACAUCAAAAUAGCAAAAAGCUUUUUUCAAAUAGGAAUCUCACCGAAGCUUCCCUUUAUAAAUGAAUCAAUUUCUAAAUAAAAUAUAUUACAGAGAUUUUUA
This is a non-coding RNA of Cyanistes caeruleus (blue tit), 367 nucleotides long. The record is from RefSeq and is a predicted model, not a curated record. Lineage: Eukaryota; Metazoa; Chordata; Aves; Passeriformes; Paridae.